CCUGGCUCAAGAUGAACGCUGGCUACAGGCUUAACACAUGCAAGUCGAGGGGAAAACGACGGGGAAGCUUCGCUUCCCCGGGCGUCGACCGGCGCACGGGUGAGUAACGCGUAUCCAACCUGCCUCUGACUGAGGGAUAACCCGUCGAAAGUCGGCCUAAUACCUCAUGGCAUCGUCUGCGGGCAUCCAACGACGAUUAAAGAUUUCAUCGGUCAGGGAUGGGGAUGCGUCUGAUUAGUUAGUUGGCGGGGUAACGGCCCACCAAGGCUACGAUCAGUAGGGGUUCUGAGAGGAAGGUCCCCCACAUUGGAACUGAGACACGGUCCAAACUCCUACGGGAGGCAGCAGUGAGGAAUAUUGGUCAAUGGGCGGGAGCCUGAACCAGCCAAGUAGCGUGCAGGAUGACGGCCCUAUGGGUUGUAAACUGCUUUUAUGCGGGGAUAAAGUGAGGGACGUGUCCUUCAUUGCAGGUACCGCAUGAAUAAGGACCGGCUAAUUCCGUGCCAGCAGCCGCGGUAAUACGGAAGGUCCGGGCGUUAUCCGGAUUUAUUGGGUUUAAAGGGAGCGUAGGCCGUGGAUUAAGCGUGUUGCGAAAUGCAGGUGCUCAACGUCUGCACUGCAGCGCGAACUGGUUCACUUGAGUGUGCGCAACGCAGGCGGAAUUCGUCGUGUAGCGGUGAAAUGCUUAGAUAUGACGAAGAACUCCGAUUGCGAAGGCAGCUUGCGGGAGCACAACUGACGCUGAAGCUCGAAAGUGCGGGUAUCGAACAGGAUUAGAUACCCUGGUAGUCCGCACGGUAAACGAUGGAUGCCCGUUGUCAGGCUGUUUCAGCCUGGUGACCAAGCGAAAGCAUUAAGCAUCCCACCUGGGGAGUACGCCGGCAACGGUGAAACUCAAAGGAAUUGACGGGGGCCCGCACAAGCGGUGGAGCAUGUGGUUUAAUUCGAUGCAACGCGAAGAACCUUACCUACUCUUGACAUCCAGAGAACAUUCCAGAGAUGGAUUGGUGCCUUCGGGAACUCUGAGACAGGUGCUGCAUGGCUGUCGUCAGCUCGUGUUGUGAAAUGUUGGGUUAAGUCCCGCAACGAGCGCAACCCUUAUCCUUUGUUGCCAGCGAUUCGGUCGGGAACUCAAAGGAGACUGCCGGUGAUAAACCGGAGGAAGGUGGGGAUGACGUCAAGUCAUCAUGGCCCUUACGAGUAGGGCUACACACGUGCUACAAUGGCGUAUACAGAGGGAAGCGAUAGUGCGAGCUGGAGCGAAUCUCACAAAGUACGUCUAAGUCCGGAUUGGAGUCUGCAACUCGACUCCAUGAAGUCGGAAUCGCUAGUAAUCGCAAAUCAGAAUGUUGCGGUGAAUACGUUCCCGGGCCUUGUACACACCGCCCGUC
This 1391-nucleotide ribosomal RNA is filed under the name uncultured bacterium. RNAcentral's name for it is "bacterial SSU rRNA". It matches the Rfam family "Bacterial small subunit ribosomal RNA". The record is from RNAcentral.